This 451-nucleotide ribosomal RNA is filed under the name uncultured bacterium. RNAcentral describes it as "partial 16S ribosomal RNA". It matches the Rfam family "Bacterial small subunit ribosomal RNA", at positions 28 to 507 of the family's 1533-position model. The record is from RNAcentral.
GAUGAACGCUGGCGGCGUGCCUAACACAUGCAAGUCGAGCGGCAGCGAGGGGUGCUUGCACCCUGUCGGCGAGCGGCGGACGGCUGAGUAACGCGUGGGAACGUGCCCCAAAGUGAGGAAUAACUGCCCGAAGGGGUAGCUAAUACCGCAUAUUAUCUUCGGAUCAAAGGAUUUAUCCGCUUUGGGAGCGGCUCGCGUCGGAUUAGGUAGUUGGUGAGGUAAUGGCUCACCAAGCCGACGAUCCGUAGCUGGUCUGAGAGGAUGACCAGCCAGACUGGAACUGAGACACGGUCCAGACUCCUACGGGAGGCAGCAGUGAGGAAUCUUCCACAAUGGGCGAAAGCCUGAUGGAGCAACGCCGCGUGCAGGACGAAGGCCUUCGGGUUGUAAACUGCUUUUAUAAGUGAGGAAUAUGACGGUAACUUAUGAAUAAGGAUCGGCUAACUACGUG